RNAcentral lists this ribosomal RNA (492 nucleotides) under uncultured bacterium. RNAcentral's name for it is "partial 16S ribosomal RNA". It matches the Rfam family "Bacterial small subunit ribosomal RNA", at positions 29 to 507 of the family's 1533-position model. The record is from RNAcentral.
AGUGAACGCUGGCGGUAGGCCUAACACAUGCAAGUCGAACGGCAGCACAGUAAGAGCUUGCUCUUACGGAUGGCGAGUGGAGGACGGGUGAGGAAAGAAUCGGAAUCUACUUUUUAGUGGGGGCUAAUGUAGGGUAACUUACGCUAAUACCGCAUACGAACUACGGGUGAAAGCUGGGGAUCUUCGGACCUUGCCCGCUUGAUAGAGACGGUGGCGGAUUAGCUGGUUGGCGGGGCAAAGGCGCAACCCGGCGACGAACCGUAGCCGGACUGAGAGGAUGAUCAGCCAGCCUGGAACUGUGACACGGUCCAGACUCCUACAGGAAGCAGCAGUGGGGAAAAUUGGACAAUGAGCGCAAGCCAGAGCCAGCCAUACCGCGUGUCUGAAGAAGGCCUUCUGGUUGUAAAGCCAUUUUUUUGGGAAAGAAAAGCAGCAUGUUAAUACCCCACUGUUCUGACGGUACCCAAAGAAGAAGCACCGGCUAACUUCGUG